Molecule: ribosomal RNA, 518 nt
Filed under: uncultured bacterium
Lineage: Bacteria
Description: bacterial SSU rRNA
Rfam family: Bacterial small subunit ribosomal RNA
Source: RNAcentral
AUCCAGAGAACUUAGCAGAGAUGCUUGUGCCUUCGGAACUCUGAGACAGGUGCUGCAUGGCUGUCGUCAGCUCGUGUUGUGAAAUGUUGGUUAAGUCCGCAACGAGCGCAACCCUUAUCCUUUGUUGCCAGCGGUUCGGCCGGGAACUCAAAGGAGACUGCCGGUGAUAAACCGGAGGAAGGUGGGGAUGACGUCAAGUCAUCAUGGCCCUUACGGCCAGGGCUACACACGUGCUACAAUGGCGCAUACAAAGAGAAGCGACCUCGCGAGAGCAAGCGGACCUCAUAAAGUGCGUCGUAGUCCGGAUUGGAGUCUGCAACUCGACUCCAUGAAGUCGGAAUCGCUAGUAAUCGUAGAUCAGAAUGCUACGGUGAAUACGUUCCCGGGCCUUGUACACACCGCCCGUCACACCAUGGGGGUGGGUUGCAAAAGAAGUAGGUAGCUUAACCUUCGGGAGGGCGCUUACCACUUUGUGAUUCAUGACUGGGGUGAAGUCGUAACAAGGUAGGCGUAGCGAG